UAUAGCUAUAGCAACUUGCUGCAGCCUGCAGCCGUCUUUAUAUGACACAGCAUAGUUUGGCAUUUCUUGUAGGGUAUAUGGCAAGCAGAGCAGGAUUUGUUUGACUUUUUUCCCCUUCUUUGUUUGGUUUCCCACUCAGUGUACUGUAUUUGGAUUGCAGCCUCGAUUAAUUCCGAUUCAUGGUGCAUAAGGCCUAUUAAAGGAAGAAGCCUCCGGACUAGAAUUUUAUUCAUACCCGAGUCCUCUAACCAAGGGUGGAGAAAUCUUAUUUAUCCCACCACAACCUCAAUUGUAUCAUUAGUAUUUUUAUAUCACAAAGGACACAGUUGCAAGACUACCAGUGCCGGCAUGAUUUAGGUUAUAAAUUCAGAGAUCUUUUAAAAAAAAGUUGAUGUCAAAGCCACCCAACCCCAUGCGCUGUUAAACUUGUUAAAGAUUUUGUGAUUUCCCAUUGCCAUUCUUAAUUUCUCGCACUAAACAGAAGGGGCGAGUAAGCCAGUAAAUAUGCUUUUACUAUUUCUGAGAGUAGAUGAAAUAGAUCUAAAUUGAUCAAUAUCUAGCAUUCUUGUUUUAGCUCAAGAAGGAAAAAGAAAAACCUGGCAGCUAUAGCUAUGGGCAGAAGUUGCAAUCUUCUCUUUGCUCUUCCACUGGAUUGGAAUCACUUGCAGCUCUCGCUCCCAUAGAGUCACAGCAUCCCAUUUCUUGGUUCAUAUUUACCAUCCCAUUUCUUGGUUCAUAUUUACCAGGGUGUCUUCUCCGCUUUUUAUUUUUUUAUAGAAUUUUCCUGUCAACUUUGUAUUGGGGAAAAUAAAUAUUACACGUGGAUUUAUAUAUGUAGCUGGUGUGAUAAGACACGUGGAUCACUAAGAAAGCGACAACUGGGGAGAUGCAUUAAAAGAGGCACGAGUCAUAAUAGGUACGAGUAAAUCACCCCCGAGAUAAAAGGGGUAUGGUCGCUCGAAUGUGAAUUGCUAUGUGAAGAGAUACCGGCGUACUGAAUCAAGACUGAAAAGGAGGAAGAUUCAUGGAUCGUCAAUUAACGCGCAUGAAUGAUCAUAGACGUUGCAGAAUCUUCCUGAACAGUUACAAUUGCCAAUUAUAACGUCUCAUUAAUGUCAUUAAUGUACGUAAUGAUUUAGUCAUAAAAGGGAAGAAAUGUUGUACUUAUAGAUUCCUAUAUAAGGGAAGGGAAUUUCACUUGUAAAGAAA
Long non-coding RNA from Nicotiana attenuata, 1209 nucleotides. RefSeq lists it as uncharacterized. The record is from RefSeq and is a predicted model, not a curated record. The transcript has 2 exons. NCBI's taxonomy places the organism in Eukaryota, Viridiplantae, Streptophyta, Magnoliopsida, Solanales, Solanaceae.